Ornithodoros turicata is the source of this 244-nucleotide long non-coding RNA. RefSeq lists it as uncharacterized. The record is from RefSeq and is a predicted model, not a curated record. Lineage: Eukaryota; Metazoa; Arthropoda; Arachnida; Ixodida; Argasidae. The transcript has 3 exons.
UGCAACAUCGUCAGUGGCCCCGUUACUAAUGUCUAAUCUAUGAAUUUCAGAUACUUUCGACGUAUUCAUUGCGGUGAACAACGCGGUUGGGACAGCACACUCACGACGUGGGAAGGUCACAGAAAUGUUGAAAGACAUCAGAUUGGGCAUACGCUUCACCCGUGCAACUUCGUCAUGUGCUCCACGGCAGCACAAGCCUUUACGGCUGUGCCACUAUGUGUGGAAACGUCGUAGCGGAUGAAUG